RNAcentral lists this ribosomal RNA (396 nucleotides) under uncultured bacterium. RNAcentral's name for it is "partial 16S ribosomal RNA". It matches the Rfam family "Bacterial small subunit ribosomal RNA", at positions 523 to 918 of the family's 1533-position model. The record is from RNAcentral.
AUACGUAGGUGACAAGCGUUGUCCGGAUUUACUGGGUGUAAAGGGUGCGUAGGCGGGGCAGCAAGUUGGAUGUGAAAUCCUCGGGCUCAACUAGAGAACUGCAUUCAAAACUGUUGCUCUUGAGUGCAGUAGAGGCAAGCGGCAUUCCCGGGGGAGCGGUGAAAAGCGCAGAGAUCGGGAGGAACACCAGUGGCGAAGGCGGCUUGCUGGGCUGUUACUGACGCUGAGGCACGAAAGCAUGGGUAGCAAACAGGAUUAGAUACCCUGGUAGUCCAUGCUGUAAACGAUGAUUACUAGGUGUGGGUGGACUGACCCCAUCCGUGCCGGAGUUAACACAUUAAGUAAUCCACCUGGGGAGUACGGCCGCAAGGUUGAAACUUAAAGGAAUUGGCGGGG